CCCUUAGAUGUCCGGGGCUGCACGCGCGCUACACUGUAGAAAGUAGCGUGCUUUAAAACCUUUCCUGAAAAGGAUGGGUAACCCCAGCAAAAUUCUACGUGCUUGGGAUAGAGAUUUGCAAUUUUCUCUCUUGAACGAGGAAUUCCCAGUAAGUGCGAGUCAUCAGCUCGCGUUGAUUACGUCCCUGCCCUUUGUACACACCGCCCGUCGCUACUACCGAUUGGGAAAAUUUUAGAGAGUCCUGGACUGAUGAUUGUUCGGCUUCACGGCCUUACUUUCGUCGGGAAAGAAUUCGAUAAUAUUUUUCUAGAGGAAGUAAAAGUCGUAACA
This 330-nucleotide ribosomal RNA is filed under the name uncultured eukaryote. RNAcentral's name for it is "partial 18S ribosomal RNA". It matches the Rfam family "Eukaryotic small subunit ribosomal RNA", at positions 1470 to 1796 of the family's 1831-position model. The record is from RNAcentral.